This 45-nucleotide non-coding RNA is filed under the name Schistosoma margrebowiei. The record is from RNAcentral. Lineage: Eukaryota; Metazoa; Platyhelminthes; Trematoda; Strigeidida; Schistosomatidae.
AUCCAGCUGACGAGUUUCAAAUAGGACGAAACUUGUGUUUUGAAU